CCUACGGGAGGCAGCAGUAGGGAAUUUUCCGCAAUGGGCGAAAGCCUGACGGAGCGACGCCGCGUGAGUGAGGACGGCUUUCGGGUUGUAAAACUCUGUUCUUCGGGAAGAACGGCGGGAGGGUGAACAGCCCUUUUGCGUGACGGUACCGAAGAAGAAAGCCCCGGCUAACUACGUGCCAGCAGCCGCGGUAAUACGUAGGGGGCAAGCGUUGUCCGGAAUUAUUGGGCGUAAAGGGCGCGCAGGCGGCCUGUUAAGUCUGGUGUGAAAGACCACGGCUCAACCGUGGGGUUGCAUCAGAAACUGGCGGGCUUGAGUGCAGGAGAGGAGAGUGGAAUUCCCGGUGUAGCGGUGGAAUGCGUAGAGAUCGGGAGGAACACCAGUGGCGAAGGCGGCUCUCUGGCCUGCAACUGACGCUGAGGCGCGAAAGCGUGGGUAGCGAACAGGAUUAGAUACCCUGGUAGUCCACGCCGUAAACGAUGAGUGCUAGGUGUUGGGGGUUUCCGCCCUCUGUGCCGAAGGUAACCCAAUAAGCACUCCGCCUGGGGAGUACGGCCGCAAGGCUGAAACUCAAAGGAAUUGACGGGGGCCCGCACAAGCGGUGGAGCAUGUGGUUUAAUUCGAAGCAACGCGAAGAACCUUAC
This 644-nucleotide ribosomal RNA is filed under the name uncultured Thermoactinomycetaceae bacterium. Its description in RNAcentral is "bacterial SSU rRNA". It matches the Rfam family "Bacterial small subunit ribosomal RNA", at positions 338 to 974 of the family's 1533-position model. Lineage: Bacteria; Bacillati; Bacillota; Bacilli; Caryophanales; Thermoactinomycetaceae. The record is from RNAcentral.